GUGCUCACUUUGGCUGCACAUACACUAAAAUAGAAAUGAUACAGAGAAGUUUAGCAUGGCCCCUGUGCAAGGAUGACACGCAAAUUCAUGGAGCAUUCUGUAAUUUU
Molecule: small nuclear RNA, 107 nt
Organism: Meriones unguiculatus (Mongolian gerbil)
Lineage: Eukaryota; Metazoa; Chordata; Mammalia; Rodentia; Muridae
Source: Ensembl